GCCCUCUCAGGGUUGCACCUGGAAAGCUUCCAGUACUCUUCCAGACUCGGAUAUGGGAGGGAGAGUCAAGCAGAGGCCUACCCAUUCCAUUCCUAGAUAGGGCAGUGGCUAGUGAAUGGAAGGCGAUCUGCUACUAGU
Small nucleolar RNA from Ornithorhynchus anatinus (platypus), 138 nucleotides. The record is from RefSeq and is a predicted model, not a curated record. Lineage: Eukaryota; Metazoa; Chordata; Mammalia; Monotremata; Ornithorhynchidae.